AAGUCGUAACAAGGUUUCCGUAGGUGAACCUGCGGAAGGAUCAUUCAUAAUCAAAGUGUUUUUAUGGCACUUUUAAAAAAAUCCAUAUCCACCUUGUGUGCAAUGUCAUCUCACUGGAGGCCAGCGGCUGUAAAAAGCCCGUUUGGUCGCCUUUGGGAUUUAUAUCUACUCAGAACUUUAGUGAUUUUGUCUGAAAAAUAUUAUGAAUAACUUAAUUCAAAAUACAACUUUCAACAACGGAUCUCUUGGCUCUC
RNAcentral lists this unclassified non-coding RNA (254 nucleotides) under Mortierella alpina. RNAcentral's name for it is "partial internal transcribed spacer region". The stretch from base 1 to 46 matches the Rfam family "Eukaryotic small subunit ribosomal RNA", at positions 1786 to 1831 of the family's 1831-position model. RNAcentral also lists the same sequence under 1 other name. The record is from RNAcentral. Lineage: Eukaryota; Fungi; Mortierellomycota; Mortierellomycetes; Mortierellales; Mortierellaceae.